RNAcentral lists this ribosomal RNA (261 nucleotides) under uncultured fungus. RNAcentral describes it as "partial 18S ribosomal RNA". It matches the Rfam family "Eukaryotic small subunit ribosomal RNA", at positions 490 to 754 of the family's 1831-position model. Lineage: Eukaryota; Fungi. The record is from RNAcentral.
GCUCUUUUGGGUCUUAUAAUUGGAAUGAGCACAAUUUAAAUCCCUUAACGAGGAACAAUUGGAGGGCAAGUCUGGUGCCAGCAGCCGCGGUAAUUCCAGCUCCAAUAGCGUAUAUUAAAGUUGUUGCAGUUAAAAAGCUCGUAGUUGAACUUCAGCCCUGGCCGGGCGGUCUGCCUCACGGUAUGUACUGUCUGGCUGGGGCUUACCUUCUGGUGAGCUCGCAUGUCGUUUACUCGGUGUGUGAGGGAACCAGGACUUUUA